Symphalangus syndactylus (siamang) is the source of this 9504-nucleotide long non-coding RNA. RefSeq lists it as uncharacterized. The record is from RefSeq and is a predicted model, not a curated record. NCBI's taxonomy places the organism in Eukaryota, Metazoa, Chordata, Mammalia, Primates, Hylobatidae.
CCCCUCUUUCAAAGGCUUCGAUUUACAAGCCGCCAUCCUUCAUGAUGCCUGUAGUGUUGCAAGGAGCAGAGAGAACCUUGCGUAGAAUCUCUCACGGUCUUAGUGCAAAGGUCUCCCAGUUCUUUCAGAGUGGUUUCUCAGGUGUCCUUAGCUGGAGGGAGAUCGGUGCAUUUUCAGAUGUCAGAGCUGGUGCUGACAAUAGAGCCAAACUUGGCUUUUUGGAACUGAAAGUAUGCCUAAUCCUUAAAUUAUUUUUGGAGGGUAAGAAAGGAAGGCUGAAAGGACAUCAGGAAUUGAGGUCUUGUGUUUGGUGAUUGGCCAUGUGGCUUUUCUUCUGCUUUAGCAAGUCGACAUUUUGAACAGUAACAUAGAGCGCCUUAAGCAGGCUUCUCUAAUAACUUUUCAUCUGUCUUGUUGGGAGGCUGUCAGGGUGUCAAGCUUUUAGAAAACUGUACAGAUGAGCACAUGUACCCUAAAACUUAAAGUAUAAUUAAGAAAAAAAACGAAAGAAAACCAUACAGAUGACAGAAAUGACAUUGGUCUCAACGGAGUGGUCAAAGCCCACAGAGGUAUGAUCAAUUUAGUUGCUACAAAGCCACUAUUCUCUCCAGGGGCAGUUUAACCCCCCAGGGGACACCUGGCAAUGUCUGGAGGCAUUUUUGGUCGGGGCCAUGGGAGUUGCUACUACCAUUUAGUGGGUAGAGGCCAGCGAUGAUGCUAAACCCCUGCAAUGCACAGGACAGCCCCAUAACCAAUAAUUACCAGGCUUAGCCUGCCAGCAGUGCUGAGGGGUAGAAAGCCUGCUGGAAAAGAAUGGGCUGGACAUGAUAAAUGCAUUGAAGGAAUUCGUCUGAUCCCAUAAGUGAGAAAACUGAGGGCAGCCAAAUAUGUGAAUCUCGACACCCCACUCUCUGAGUUUUAUUGUAUGAUAAUGGCAGCAGCGAUACUUGCAGGCUCUUGAUGCCGCCUUGCAAAUGUGUGUGGUGCCCUCUUCGUAGCUAGCUGCCUAUUUUCGUCUUGAAGUGACGUGUAAACUUGGAGAGGUGAAAUCCCCAGGUUCAUUCUGUCUGUGGUAUUAGCAAUUGCCUUACUUAGCCUUUCACAGUAUUGGAGAUCUUUUUUUUUUUUUUUUUUUUUUGGUUAUGAUAUAUUGUUUUUCUGAUUAUUUGGAAUAGCCUGUGGUUUUUUAACUACUCUUUGUUAGGUGUAAUUGAUAGCCUGCUAAGAAGGGGGUCAUAAAAUGGCUGGAGUUAAGAGUUGCAUUUAUGUGACAUUUGUCAGGAUCGAACCCAUUGCCAUGGCAUUAGCUGACAUUUUGACCCUUUAUUGUCUCCAAAGAAAGAGAAAAAAGGUCUUCUUUCUUUCUUUCCUGCAUUGGGUCUUUGCACCCGCUCUGUGCUAUGCCGAGAACCUCCUUCCUUUCCGCGUCCUCCUCCUCCUCCAGCUGUCAGCGUGGCUCCCUCUUCCACCUGCACCAAGGUUCACACUGUCUGUGCUCAUAGGCCAGGUCACACCCUAUCUGCACCACGUGGCUGCCUGCGCCUUCAGUGUUCAUCGGGGUUGCAGUUGUACUGUCUUUUCUUUUCUUUUUUAAGAUCUAAUUUACAUGCCAUAAAAUUCACCACUUUAAAGUGUACAGUUCAGUGAUGUUUUAGUAUAUUCACAAGGUUGUGCAACCGUUAUUACUAUGUAAUUCCAGAACAUUUUUUUUAUCACCUCCAAAGUCACUCCCCAUUCUCCCCCUCCCCGGAAAACCCUUGGCAAACACUAAUGCACUUUCUGUUUCUGCAGAUUUUCCUAUUCUGGGCGUGUUACAUGCAUGAAAUCCUAUGCUGUGUGGCCUUUUGUGUUUGGCUUAUUCUCCUAAGUAUGGUGUCCUCAGGGUUCAUCCCCAUGGUAGCUUGUGUCAGAAUUUCUUUCCUUUUUAAGGCUGAAUCAUAUUCUCUGGCAUGGAUCGAUCACAUUUUGUUCUCCCUUCAUCAGUGGGUGGACAUUUAGAUGCAGCUGUACUUCCACUUGGGUGGUUCUUGAAUGGAGUAACACUUUAUCCCCCCAGACAGUAAGCUGCAUGGUGUGAACCCACUCAUCUGUGUACACCAGCUCUAGCACGUGCUGCCUGUACUUGAGGAAUUCUCAGUAAAGGUUCACUGAGUAAUUGAGUGAUGCACUGAAGAAGGUAAAAGUGCGGCUUACAUGGCAGUCUGAAAUAGCAAGGAAAAGAACAGUCGUUGUUACGAAGGGAGGAAGCACGUGCGCUCUCCUUCACCUUUCCUCCUCGAGCUGCCAGUAGUACUGUGUGCACCUUCUCUCUGGACGUGCGAGCCUGGAUUUCCAGCCUCUCUAUUCAGAAGACAAAUGUGGCAGCAGUCACACUCUCAGAAACACCAUCAAAUUUGUAUCCUACUGACUUUGUGCUAUUAGAGAAGACACAACCACACUUAAAAUGACAAGUUCAAAAAGAAAAAUGAGAAAACCCUGGAAAAAGGGAAACCAUAAAUGUGAUGGAAAUAUUUGAAGUCUUUUCAAUUGUUAACAACUUAUGCUAAUUUGAGGAAUUCUUCAGUGAUACUUUUUAAAGAACUCAAAAACAUUUAAUGCUUAAACGUUCUCAGGGCUUUGGAAGGAUUUAUCAUAAUUGAGCAUUUGCUGAGUUUCUAUUUCCGUCGUUGGAUUCCUUUGGUAAUAUAUUUGCAAGUCUUUCUCUGAGUUCUUUGCUAAUAGGAAAGCAAGAGCUGACAGGAAGAUCUUGGGUGGAUGGGUAAAAAUGGCUACUGGCUGCUGAUUUGGUCCACUGUAUCACCACAUUACUGUUGACAUAGUAAUGGGAACACUUUAAUAUCAAUCAGUGCAUGUUGGGGUUCUAUUCUGUGCCUCAUGUUUUUUGGGUGGGAAUAUAUGAUAUGGUUGUUAUUAAGCAUUUUAUAUUGAGGCACACUGGUAAUAUAGUCAACUUUUGGCCAGUAGUGUGUACUCAGUGAUGAACUCAAUUUUGGCAAAGGGUGUUUUCUGUGGUGGCCCCCAGUGUACUUAUUUUGUUUAUUUAUUUAUUUAUUUUUUUGAGAUGGAGUCUCACUCUGUCGCCCAGGCUGGAGUGCAGUGGCGCGAUCUCGGCUCACUGCAAGCUCCACUUCCCGGGUUCACACCAUUCUCCUGCCUCAGCCUCCUGAGUAGCUGGGACUACAGGUGCCCACCACCACGCCUGGCUAAUUUUUAGUAUUUUUAGUAGAGAUGGGGUUUCACCAUGUUAGUCAGGAUGGUCUUGAUCUCCUGACCUUGUGAUCUGCCUGCCCCGGCCUCUGAAAGUGCUGGGAUUACAGGCGUGAGCCACUGCGCCCGGCCCCAGUGUACUUAUUUAUUUGUUGGCCAUUUCUUCCCUGCUGUUGACUGUUUCCCUCCUUGGCUUAGCAAGAGGUGUUGGGAGCUGAUUUGAAACUCUAAUCUCUGGAAGCAUGGGGAAUAUGACUCCUCUAGUCUGGGUGGGGACUUCUCUGAGAUAGCAUUUCUUUUCUUUUGAGUUUAAAAAUGUGCCAUCUAAGCCUGGGCAACAUAGCAAGACACCAUUUCUAAAAAAAAAAAAAAUUAACCAGGUGUGGUGGUGCAUGCCUGUAGUCCCAGCUACUCAGGAGGCUGAAGCAGGGGGAUUGCUUGAGCUCAGGAGGUCGAGGCUGUGGUGAGCUGUGAUUGCACCACUGCACUCCCACCUGGGUGAUAGAGUGAGACCCUGUCUCAAAAGAUCUUUAUGCUACACAUUUUUAGAGGUCUGUUCAACAGCUAUGGAAACUUCCAAGAGCCAGGCGCUGACCUGACCCUGGCACCUGGAGUGUUCCUUCGGGGAGAAUCCACCUGUGAAUGAAUAGAAAGAUCCCUGCUCUCUGCUGGUAUUGAACUAAAACACUGGCAUCUCUGGAACUGAGUUAUGUAUAGUAAGUGGCUCCUCCGGCCAGCAUACGGGGUGGGAAGUGUUGGUGUGGGUCACCUGGCCUGAGCUAGGGCCUCAGGCCUGCCUAGCACUGAAAGGAGCCCGGAAAAAAGUGACUUCAUCUGCUUGCAUCACACUGUCCUCAUCUUCAUGGUGACAAACUGAUACAAACUUGCUGUCAGUUUGAUGGCAAAUGCUCUCUGUAACCUGUCACUUGGAAAGUUCCCUCCUCAUCAGAUUUUGUUUUUUUUUUUUUUUUUUUUACAGGUAAGAGGCUUUAAUAGGCCUUGACAAAGGGCCGUAUGAGUGGAGAAGUAUCUGUGCCCUAAUAGCAGGGCACUUGAAAUACAGCCACAGGGGCACAGUGUCUUUCCCUCAGCCAGUAGCUCCCCCCUCGGCCAUGUCCACUGUCUAGAAUACUGCCAAAGAGCUGCGUUUUUACCCACUGUGAGCUCAGAGAAUUUUGAUCAUACUUGCCAUGUGCUAUAAUUGAUUAUGGAUACCUGAUCUCAGCCAUUUGCUUAUGAAAGUAAGGCUGUGUGAAUGUUUUAUUACCAGAAAUACACAUUUUGGAUCCUAAUGCCACCACUUAAUUAAAUGUGCGAACCUGGGCUAGGUAUUUUCCCUCUCAACUUCGUGACCUGCAGUAUUCCCAUAUGUAAACUGGGGAUAAUGAGACCUGCCUUACAGGAUCGUUUUGUGCAUUAAAUGGGAUUUGUGUAAACUCCUUAGAGCAGUGCUAAGAAUGAAGGUGGUAAUGAGAAAUGCAGUUUUUAUCCAUCCUCAUUCUUCUGGUUAAGGAUGGUAUUUUAUUCACCUUUUGAUUUCUUAUAAUGCCUUGCACAUAGUUAAAGCUCAGCAGUUGUUAAAUGAAUAAAGAACAAAGCCUCCAUGAAAAAACAACACACAAAACUAAUUAGUACUAGUGUAUGUGUACUAUUCACUGGAGGGCCAUUUCAAAUCCUACCACAUUCAUAGACAACAAUCAUGUUAUUUGAUUUUGAAGCCCAGCACAUGUUGGAAGCAAAAAAUUAGAAGCAUGAGAAGACAGCUGUUAGUCAUGCAUAUUGAUAUGACAAAUAAAUCCUAGCGGGCCACCCAAUUGCAAGGAAGGAGGUAGAGGAGCUGGGAAAAGUAGUAUCAACAAUAGAGCAAUCUAAUGCCAUUUACCACAGGAGCAGAUAGCCCCAUCCACAGAUCCAAAGGGUGUGUGGUUAUUACCAAGGGAAUUGCCAGCUAUUGCACAGUAAAGCAGAAUAAUUGAUUUAUGGCACUCAAUCCUCCAAAAAGUUGUAAAUUUCUUUGAUAUCUACCAAGUAGGUGGCAACAGCAAAGGCUAACCUCAGGGGGAUUUGCACGGAGGAAAAACAAGAUUGUAAAAACCUGCUGUUCUAGGAGUUGAAAUGUAUUAUUAUUAUAGCUGUUGUAGAACUCUUCUCUUCUUUGUCAUGCAGACUUAAAGUAUAAAACAAUCUUUAUUCCAGCUUGUUGAAAGUGGGAAUGCCAUAAACCAACACAGUGAGCCUGGAGCAAUGACAAGCUACACAAAAAUUAAACAUAUUUGUAUUUCAAGAUGUAGCGGGCUAUCGUGGCCAGUUCAUGGCCACUUUGGGAAGACAUUUAUCAGGAGGAAGCAAGAUGGCACUAAAGCGUGGGAGAGGACAGAAGCUGGAGCUGUCAUGGGUGCAGAAUAAGGUUGGCCCGGAAGGGUAGGUGGGUGGGGUCACACGUGAUAGUUCAGAUAUCUUUUGCUAUCGAUUUUCUAAUUUUCUAAGAUGAAGUGUUAAGGUCCCAGUAUGUGGAUGGUGCCUCCAGAUGGACAAUUCAGGUUGCGUGUCCCAGACCUGGGGAUUGGGACUGGCCAGAACAGACCAGACCCCAUCAGCAGGAUGGACCAGACCCCAUCAGCAGGAUGGACCAGACCCCAUCAGCAGGAUGGACAAGACCCCAUCAGCAGGAUGGACCCCAUGGAAAAAAAAAUCUAGGAACUAAGACAUGAUUGGGCAGGAGGCUGGGAAACUUAUUAGGAAGGAUCAAGGUUGACUUUGCCACCGUGACCUAGCCACGAACAUGAUGGAAAGAAGGCUGUGGAGUGGGGCUGUGGGCAGCACCUCCCGGGGCCCUGAAUGAAGCAAGCUUGGAGAGGGAGCUGUCAUGUGGGUCUGAGUGGCUUCUUUAAUGUCAGCAUGCGCCUAGGAGGUGAUGUAGCCUUAUUGCCUCUUUGAGAGUUGGCUUCCCAUAGGGGCAUCCUAGACACUGGAUGAUUUUUGCAUCAACAUCUUCAGUCCAUCAAAUAUGGUCCUUGAAAUCCCAGCGUCCUCAGUUGGUGAUGGACAGGGAACAGACAUUUGUGGUCUCACGCUGAGGGUCUUAGGAAGGCAAGAGGUGAAUAAAAGAGUCAGGGAUUGAGGGCAGGGCACGGUGGCUCACACCUGUAAUCCCAGCUCUUUGGGAGGUCGAGACAGGCAGAUCACCUGAGGUCAGGAGUUUGAGACCAGACUGCCCAACAUGGCAAAACCCCGUCUCCACUAAAAAUACAAAAAAUUAGCCGGGCGUGGUGGCAGGCAUCUGUAAUCCCAGCUACUCGAGAGGCUGAGGCAGGAGAAUUGCUUGAACCUGGGAGGUGGAGGUUGCAGUGAGCUGAGAUCAUGCCACUGCACUCCAGCCUGGGCGACAAGAGCAAAACUCCAUCCCCCCUACCCACCCCCCCCCCCAAAAAAAAAGAGUCAGGGCUUGAAAGUGAGAAGAUGCAAACUGCAUCCUGUCCUGCCCAUAGGGUGUUCUGUCCACCUUAAGUUUGACUUGGUGGUUCUGAACCAAGCCUGAGACUGUGUUAGGAUGAAAUUCCAGGAGGCUGUAGAGUUAGGCAGUCUGUGCCGAGCAUUCCAUCACACGUGCCAUUCCACACUAUUUGGAGAUCAAGCAGAACAGUUUUGAUUGAUGCUGGGUCAUUUUGUUUUAGAUCAUUUUCACAUUUAUGAUCUCUGGGGUUACGGAAGAGGUCUGUGAUUCUUGUGAUUUCAAGAGAGGGGAUUUAAAAAUGGAUGGGGAGGUUUGUCACAGAUUCGUGAGACUUGGGAGUGAGAAGGAAAGCGGAGUUGGAGAGGUGGAGAAUGGGUGGGGGACCAUUCUUGACCUGGGAUCUCUGUGACCAGGACCCUCUCCAUUUCUCAUCCAAAUGUCCUUUUUGGAGGUCUCAUCCUUGUCAUGGUGGUGACAAGACAUGGAACUUGUCACUUCUAAGGACUUGAACACCCUGAGUGCCUGAGGCUGCAGAAAUGACCAUGGCAGGUUCCCUGCCAUUCACGGAAACUGAAAUGUACCAAAGAGCUGAUAUCCAGGCCAAACAGCGUUUGUGUUGGAGAAGUUGCCUUUCUUUCAAAAAGGAUGGAUAGGAAGCAGUUUUUUAAAAAAAUCUGCCUGCUUUCUGAAGAUGAACACAAAUCUGGUUACAUCCAACAGAAGAUAGAGUGAUUAUGCAACAUGAGGCUUAAAUGUUUGUCUUUUAAAAUGUUCUUAGGGAAUGCAGCAAGAAUUUACAGUAGCCAACCUGUAUUUCCAAGGAGAUUUAAUCAGAGGAAGUAUCAAAGAAUUGAAGAUUAGUAUGAUUUUGAGGGUUUUCCUAAUUAUUUUUCUGAUCUCUUCUCAACUAACAGAGCUGUUAAGCAGAGUUGAUUAAACAAUGUCAAUUUUUUGAAAAGCCCUUAAUGACAUAUUUACACAGUGGUUACGAAGAGCCCCCCAAAGCCCAUCAUGGAUUAUAGGAGCAAGUUAUAGCCAUUAAAACCAUCUGUAAUUAUUUUUUUCAUAGUAGAGAGUGAUGUCAAGUCAUCCGCUUCUGUUCAACAUAUUUCUUAGAAAAGGAUGUCUCAAAACUUCUUUUGAGACCGUCACAAAAUGAAACAACUCCCUGAUCCCACACGAACCUCUCCCACCACCCUCAAACAGAAACCGACCCAAACUCUUUGAAAAGCUCCAAAGAAAAUAAAAUGUUUUUAGAACUUCUUUUCUUGUUCAAAUGUUUGAUUGACUCGUAGAGAUGAAGGGAUGAUGAUGAUUUAUAUGCUUGAUGUACUGUUAUUUGGAGUAAUGUUUCGUUAGAUUUGUUUUGUGAAAUGAAGAAAGCAGUAUGUACUUUACAUUUUUCAUCUGUACAUCUAAUGUGCAAUUUGUUAGCCCAUCAAAAUUAAUUUUAGAUCCCAAAUGGAUCUUUAGAUUUGUAAGUACCGUUAAUGGUUUCUUCAGUUACGUGUAUGUAUUUAUGUGCCCUUCUUGGGUGAAUUUCUGUGAAGGAUUCUGCAGGGUGAAUGUUAACAUAAAUAACUAACCAGCAAAUAAGUGUCAAUUAAAAAUUCUAUUACCGUAAUUGGCCGUGGCCCUUCCUCAUCAAAGUACAGUAUGUUUAGAUCAAAUUUAAUUUUUUCGAGAUGCUUGCCUGCUUAGUUUCCCAAUUUAGCUCCUCUUUCUGCCAACAAAAGAAACUGUUUUCCAUUUAGAGGAGCAUCUUUCUACGCUACCUGCACAUGAAUACUGUGUUCAAACACUAUAAAGAUUUUUAAGUGUUUUUUAAAAACAAAGAGAUUUGGUCAUUUUUGCGGGUUUCUUUUUUCCUUCUAAAUUUCAUCGUCCCUUUUAUCCUUUCUUCCUGGAUUCUCUAUUUUUCUUUCUCAAAAUUUCCCCUUUUCCUGAGGGAUUUUUGCUUCCAGCUGAUGUGAGGGCUUUGAUGGUAUAGUUUAUGUGUUAGGAUUACCACUGCUGUUCCCUAAAGGCCCUCAAAUGCUGUGGCUCAAGUUAAUUUAGAAGUUUACUGCUCUUUCUUCCAAAUUCCAUGUCUACAUGGUGGAAGGCUGGUUCUCCUCCAGGUUGCCCAGCAAGAAAAAGGGAAUGGGAGAGGCUGGGGACAGCAGCUCACCUCCCACUAGUAAAAGUCGGUCUCCGGGGAUUCUACCAGGCCGUACCUAGUUACAGAGAGACUGGGAAAGGUACUCCCUAGCUGUGGGGCUCCUCUUAGCUAAAAUCCCUGGGGUGGGGAGCCUGUUUUUCCUACAACAAGGAAGGGAGGGAAAAAAGCCCUGGGCGACAGUUAGUCUCUGUCACAACUUAUUUAGCUACACGUUUUUGUUUUGUUUUGUUUUGAGACAGAGUCUGGUUUUGUUGCCCAGGCUGGAGCGCAGUGGCACAAUCUCGGCUUACUGUAACCUCCACCUCCUGGGUUCAAGCGAUUCUCCUGCCUCACUCGGCCUCCCGAGUAGCUGGGAUUACAGGCACCUGCCGCCAUGCCCGGUUAAUUUUUUUUUUUUGUAUCUUUAAUAGAGAGGGGGGUUUCACCAUGUUGGCCAGGCUGGUCUCGAACUCUAGACCUCAAGUGAUCCUCCUACCUCGGCCUCCCAAAGUGCUGGGAUUACAGGCGUGCACCGCCUUGCCCAGCCUACAAAAAAUUUUUAAAGAUAACUAGUUCAUCUUUGGAAAACAUCUAAAGGAAAGUGUAAGAGUGUUAAAAUACAAAACGGAAUGGUAUUUUUUUUCUUCAUCUGGGAGUCAAAAUGUAUUGUCCAUAAUUGAUAUACCAGUGUAGAUUUUUUUUU